Molecule: small nuclear RNA, 170 nt
Filed under: Echinops telfairi (small Madagascar hedgehog)
Lineage: Eukaryota; Metazoa; Chordata; Mammalia; Afrosoricida; Tenrecidae
Description: U1 spliceosomal RNA (ENSETEG00000022675.1)
Rfam family: U1 spliceosomal RNA
About the family: U1 is a small nuclear RNA (snRNA) component of the spliceosome (involved in pre-mRNA splicing). Its 5' end forms complementary base pairs with the 5' splice junction, thus defining the 5' donor site of an intron.
Source: RNAcentral
ACACUGACCUGGGGGGGGGGGGACGGGUGUACCAUGAUCACGGAGCUGGUUUUCCCAGGUGAGGCUUAUCCAUUGCGCUCCGGGUGUGCUGAGCCCUGUGAUUUCCCCAAGGCGGGAAACUCGACUGCAUAAUGUGCAGUCAUGUGGGACAGCAUUAGCACUAUCACCUA